This 672-nucleotide ribosomal RNA is filed under the name Triticum aestivum (bread wheat). Its description in RNAcentral is "partial small subunit ribosomal RNA". The record is from RNAcentral. Lineage: Eukaryota; Viridiplantae; Streptophyta; Magnoliopsida; Poales; Poaceae.
AUGGCCUUAGUUAGGAGGUAUGGCAAGCCAGACAUCUUCCUCACAAUGACAUGCAACCCAAACUGGGAUGAGAUUAGGCAAGAGCUCUACCCUGGCCAGACACCUCAAGAUCGUCCAGAUCUCGUCGUUCGUGUUUUCAGGGCUAAGUUGGAGGAACUCAAAAAUAAGCUACUUAAAAAGGAUAUCUUGGGCAAGGUGAGGGCUUAUGUGUAUGUGGUGGAGUUCCAAAAGAGGGGUCUGCCUCAUGCGCAUUUCCUGCUCAUCAUGGAGGGCCGAUACAAGCUCACGUGCCCCGAGCAGUAUGAUCGCCUUAUCUCAGCCGAGCUCCCCAACAAGAAGAAGUACCCAGAACUGUACAAGUUGGUCGUGAAACAUAUGAUGCAUGGACCUUGUGGUGCUUUGAAUCCUGAAUGCCCAUGCACAAAGGGUCAUCUUUCUUGUAAGAAUCACUAUCCGCGACCUUUCAACGCGACUACCUUACAAGGCAAGGACUCCUGCCCGCUCUACAGACGACGUGAAGACAGAUGUAAAGCAAUGGUUCGAAAGGAAUGGCUAGAUAAUAGGUGGGUCGUCCCAUACAACCCACACCUCUUGCGCUACUUCAACUGUCACAUCAAUGUUGAGGCAUGCGGCAGCAUAAAAGCCGUUAAAUACUUGUUCAAGUACAUAUAA